Molecule: ribosomal RNA, 497 nt
Filed under: uncultured bacterium
Lineage: Bacteria
Description: partial 16S ribosomal RNA
Rfam family: Bacterial small subunit ribosomal RNA
Source: RNAcentral
GACGAACGCUGGCGGCGCGCCUAAUACAUGCAAGUUGAGCGCUGAAGGUUGGUACUUGUACCAACUGGAUGAGCAGCGAACGGGUGAGUAACGCGUGGGGAAUCUGCCUUUGAGCGGGGGACAACAUUUGGAAACGAAUGCUAAUACCGCAUAAAAACUUUAAACACAAGUUUUAAGUUUGAAAGAUGCAGUUGCAUCACUCAAAGAUGAUCCCGCGUUGUAUUAGCUAGUUGGUGAGGUAAAGGCUCACCAAGGCGAUGAUACAUAGCCGACCUGAGAGGGUGAUCGGCCACAUUGGGACUGAGACACGGCCCAAACUCCUACGGGAGGCAGCAGUAGGGAAUCUUCGGCAAUGGACGAAAGUCUGACCGAGCAACGCCGCGUGAGUGAAGAAGGUUUUCGGAUCGUAAAACUCUGUUGGUAGAGAAGAACGUUGGUGAGAGUGGAAAGCUCAUCAAGUGACGGUAACUACCCAGAAAGGGACGGCUAACUACGUG